Molecule: long non-coding RNA, 313 nt
Filed under: Elaeis guineensis (African oil palm)
Lineage: Eukaryota; Viridiplantae; Streptophyta; Magnoliopsida; Arecales; Arecaceae
Description: long non-coding RNA (EGUI_LNC024595)
Source: RNAcentral
AUUGACACAUUAUAUUUUUUCUAAGAUAUAAGUUUAUACUUGAUUUAUUUAUUUAUUAAUAAAAUGAGCAAUUUCUAUUCUAUUCUUGUGUUAUGUGUCAUUAAAUCAGUAAAAAAAUUAAUAAGAUGAUGACAUAUAUUCUAAAGAAUUAAGAAUUUGAGACAUGUAUCAUUGUUGGUUAACUCUUGAAUUACUCUAGAUUAAUGAAUCAUCAUAGAAAUGAUGAUCGAUUCUAUAAGAUUGAUGCACAGAUCACUUUUUUUGGAUAGACAAGUCUCGAGUCUAUAGUAUGAAAAUACUAGAGCAAGAGUGU